RNAcentral lists this transfer RNA (126 nucleotides) under Candidatus Methanosuratincola petrocarbonis (ex Vanwonterghem et al. 2016). RNAcentral's name for it is "Candidatus Methanosuratincola petrocarbonis (hot springs metagenome) tRNA-OTHER". Lineage: Archaea; Thermoproteati; Thermoproteota; Methanosuratincolia; Candidatus Methanomethylicales; Candidatus Methanomethylicaceae. The record is from RNAcentral.
GCCGAGGUAUCCUAGCCUGGUAGGGAGCAAUCCCAUGAGGGCUCAUGCCUGGAGAAGGCUAGGGCUCUUCCUGAGAGCUUGUGACUCGUAAGGGUCUCGGGGGUUCAAAUCCCCCCCUCGGCGCCA